RNAcentral lists this transfer RNA (67 nucleotides) under Phyllothelys breve. RNAcentral describes it as "tRNA-Ala". It matches the Rfam family "tRNA". From Rfam's summary of the family: Transfer RNA (tRNA) molecules are approximately 80 nucleotides in length. The record is from RNAcentral. Lineage: Eukaryota; Metazoa; Arthropoda; Insecta; Mantodea; Hymenopodidae.
AGGGUUAUAGUUAAUUAUAACAUUUGAUUUGCACUCAAAAAAUAUUGAACUAGUUCAAUUUUCCUUU